This 374-nucleotide ribosomal RNA is filed under the name Aeromonas caviae. RNAcentral describes it as "bacterial SSU rRNA". It matches the Rfam family "Bacterial small subunit ribosomal RNA", at positions 1 to 369 of the family's 1533-position model. Lineage: Bacteria; Pseudomonadati; Pseudomonadota; Gammaproteobacteria; Aeromonadales; Aeromonadaceae. The record is from RNAcentral.
AAAUUGAAGAGUUUGAUCAUGGCUCAGAUUGAACGCUGGCGGCAGGCCUAACACAUGCAAGUCGAGCGGCAGCGGGAAAGUAGCUUGCUACUUUUGCCGGCGAGCGGCGGACGGGUGAGUAAUGCCUGGGAAAUUGCCCAGUCGAGGGGGAUAACAGUUGGAAACGACUGCUAAUACCGCAUACGCCCUACGGGGGAAAGCAGGGGACCUUCGGGCCUUGCGCGAUUGGAUAUGCCCAGGUGGGAUUAGCUAGUUGGUGAGGUAAUGGCUCACCAAGGCGACGAUCCCUAGCUGGUCUGAGAGGAUGAUCAGCCACACUGGAACUGAGACACGGUCCAGACUCCUACGGGAGGCAGCAGUGGGGAAUAUUGCAC